This 272-nucleotide ribosomal RNA is filed under the name uncultured bacterium. RNAcentral describes it as "partial 16S ribosomal RNA". It matches the Rfam family "Bacterial small subunit ribosomal RNA", at positions 525 to 796 of the family's 1533-position model. The record is from RNAcentral.
ACGAAGGGGGCUAGCGUUGUUCGGAUUUACUGGGCGUAAAGCGCACGUAGGCGGAUCGUUAAGUCGGGGGUGAAAUCCUGGAGCUCAACUCCAGAACUGCCUUCGAUACUGGCGAUCUUGAGUCCGGAAGAGGUGAGUGGAACUGCGAGUGUAGAGGUGAAAUUCGUAGAUAUUCGCAAGAACACCAGUGGCGAAGGCGGCUCACUGGCCCGGUACUGACGCUGAGGCGCGAAAGCGUGGGGAGCAAACAGGAUUAGAAACCCUUGUAGUCC